This 52-nucleotide ribosomal RNA is filed under the name Cordyceps gunnii. RNAcentral describes it as "partial 18S ribosomal RNA". It matches the Rfam family "Eukaryotic small subunit ribosomal RNA", at positions 1780 to 1831 of the family's 1831-position model. The record is from RNAcentral. Lineage: Eukaryota; Fungi; Ascomycota; Sordariomycetes; Hypocreales; Cordycipitaceae.
AAAGAAAAGUCGUAACAAGGUCUCCGUUGGUGAACCAGCGGAGGGAUCAUUA